UGCUUACCUUGGAAGCAAUAUACUAAAGUUGGAAUGAUGCAAAGUAGACUAGAAUGGCCCCUAUGCUAGGAUGACAGGACAAUUGAUGAAGUGUUCCAUAUUUUA
Small nuclear RNA from Sciurus carolinensis (gray squirrel), 105 nucleotides. Lineage: Eukaryota; Metazoa; Chordata; Mammalia; Rodentia; Sciuridae. The record is from RefSeq and is a predicted model, not a curated record.